RNAcentral lists this long non-coding RNA (1049 nucleotides) under Homo sapiens (human). RNAcentral describes it as "long non-coding RNA NONHSAT177769.1". Lineage: Eukaryota; Metazoa; Chordata; Mammalia; Primates; Hominidae. The record is from RNAcentral.
CUGUAAGCGAGGCAUGGAAGACAUAUGCUUGUGAGAAAAAGGUGUCUAUGAAACUAUGGAUGGUACAAGAACUUCACUUGACAUUGAAGAGUACUCCAAUACUGAGGUACAGAAAAACCAAGUACUAACUCUGGAAGAAUGGCAAGACAAGUGGGUGAACGGCAACACUGCUUUUCAUCAGGAACAAGGACCUCAGCUAUUAAAGAAACAUUUAGAUACUUUUCUUAAAGGAGAGAGUGGACUGAGGGUAUUUUUUCCUCUUUGCAGAAAAGAGGUUGAGAUGAAAUGGUUUGCAGACCGGGGACACAGCGUAGUUGGUGUGGAAAUCAGUGAACUUGGGAUACGAGAAUUUUUUACAGAGCAGAAUCUAUCUUACUCAGAAGAACCAAUCACCGAAAUUCCUGGAACCAAAGCAUUUAAGAGUUCUUCGGGGAACAUUUCAUCAUACUGUUGCAGUAUUUUUGAUCUUCCCAGGACAAAUAUUGGCACAUUUGACAUGAUUUGGGAUAGAGGAGCAUUAGUUGCCAUUAAUCCAGGUGAUCGCAAAUGUCCACCAUUUUAUGUUCCACAUGCUGAAAUUGAAAGGUUGUUUGGUAAAAUAUGCAAUAUACAUUGUCUUGAGAAGGUUGAUGCUUUUGAAGAAUGACAUAAAAAUUGGGGGAUUGACUAUCUUUCUGAAAAGUUAUAUCUACUUACAGAAAAGUAAAUGAGACAUAGAUAAAAUCACAUUGACAUGUUUUUGAGGAAUUGAAAAUUAUGCUAAAGCCUGAAAAUGUAAUGGAUGAAUUUUUUAAAUUGUUUAUAAAUCACAUGAUAGAUCUAUACUAAAAAUGGCUUUUUAGUAAAGCUGUUUACUUUUUCUAAAAAAGUUUUAGGAGAAAAAGAUGUAACUAAACUUUUCAAGUAGCUCCUUUGGAGAGGAGAUUAUGAUGUGAAAGAUUAUGCCUGUGUGUCUUACAGAUUGCAAGAUAUUUUAUCAAUCAGUGUGUGUUACCUGUACAAUUAAAAAAAUAUUUUAAAAUGCAAUGCAUAUUAAACAUAAUACACAC